This 468-nucleotide ribosomal RNA is filed under the name uncultured bacterium. Its description in RNAcentral is "partial 16S ribosomal RNA". It matches the Rfam family "Bacterial small subunit ribosomal RNA", at positions 28 to 507 of the family's 1533-position model. The record is from RNAcentral.
GACGAACGCUGGCGGUGUGCUUAACACAUGCAAGUCGAACGGUAAGGCCCUUUCGGGGGUACACGAGUGGCGAACGGGUGAGUAACACGUGAGUAACCUGCCCUCAUCUCUGGGAUAACAGUCGGAAACGGUUGCUAAUACUGGAUAUGAGCUUGCAAGGCAUCUUGUGGGUUGGAAAGAUUUUUUUUGGUUGGGGAUGGACUCGCGGCCUAUCGGCUUGUUGGUGAGGUAGUGGCUCACCAAGGCUUCGACGGGUAGCCGGCCGGAGAGGGCGACCGGCCACAUUGGGACUGAGAUACGGCCCAAACUCCUACGGGAGGCAGCAGUGGGGAAUAUUGCACAAUGGACGGAAGUCUGAUGCAGCAACGCCGCGUGCGGGAUGACGGCCUUCGGGUUGUAAACCGCUUUCAAUUGUGACGAAGCUUUUUUGUGACGGUAGCAGUAGAAGAAGCACCGGCUAACUACGUG